Molecule: ribosomal RNA, 394 nt
Filed under: uncultured bacterium
Lineage: Bacteria
Description: bacterial SSU rRNA
Rfam family: Bacterial small subunit ribosomal RNA
Source: RNAcentral
UUCGGUUGAAUGGUUAGUGGCGCACGGGUGCGUAACGCGUGGGAAUCUGCCCUUAGGUACGGAAUAACUCAGGGAAACUUGUGCUAAUACCGUAUGAUGUCGAGAGACCAAAGAUUUAUCGCCUAAGGAUGAGCCCGCGUUGGAUUAGCUAGUUGGUGGGGUAAAAGCCUACCAAGGCUACGAUCCAUAGCUGGUCUGAGAGGAUGAUCAGCCACACUGGGACUGAGACACGGCCCAGACUCCUACGGGAGGCAGCAGUGGGGAAUAUUGGACAAUGGGCGACAGCCUGAUCCAGCCAUGCCGCGUGAGUGAAGAAGGCCUUCGGGUCGUACAGCUCUUUUACCCGGGAUGAUAAUGACAGUACCGGGAGAAUAAGCUCCGGCUAACUCCGUGC